UGCGUAGGCGGAUUAAUAAGUCAGUGGUGAAAACCUGCAGCUUAACUGUAGAACUGCCAUUGAUACUGUUAGUCUUGAGUACGGUCAAGGUAGGCGGAAUGUGUAAUGUAGCGGUGAAAUGCUUAGAUAUUACACAGAACACCGAUUGCGAAGGCAGCUUACUGGACCAUUACUGACGCUGAGGCACGAAAGCGUGGGGAGAGAACAGGAUUAGAUACCCUGGUAGUCC
Molecule: ribosomal RNA, 229 nt
Filed under: uncultured bacterium
Lineage: Bacteria
Description: partial 16S ribosomal RNA
Rfam family: Bacterial small subunit ribosomal RNA
Source: RNAcentral